GUAUCCCUUCUGUAGCACAGGUAUUAAAACUUGGAACAACACAGAUACCCACAUGGCCUCUGUGUGAGGACAAUACACAAGUUCAUGAAGUGUUCCAUAUUUUA
This 104-nucleotide small nuclear RNA is filed under the name Mus caroli (Ryukyu mouse). RNAcentral describes it as "snRNA (MGP_CAROLIEiJ_G0035010.1)". The record is from RNAcentral. Lineage: Eukaryota; Metazoa; Chordata; Mammalia; Rodentia; Muridae.